UACAGAGGUGGCAAGCGUUGUUCGGAAUUACUGGGCGUAAAGGGCGCGUAGGCGGCCUUCUUAGUCGGACGUGAAAUCCCCAGGCUCAACUUGGGAACUGCGUCCGAUACUGGAUGGCUUGAGUGCGGGAGAGGGAUGUGGAAUUCCGCGUGUAGCAGUGAAAUGCGUAGAUAUGCGGAGGAACACCGAUGGCGAAGGCAAUCCCCUGGGCCUGCACUGACGCUCAUGCACGAAAGCGUGGGGAGCAAAAAGG
This 253-nucleotide ribosomal RNA is filed under the name uncultured bacterium. Its description in RNAcentral is "partial 16S ribosomal RNA". It matches the Rfam family "Bacterial small subunit ribosomal RNA", at positions 524 to 776 of the family's 1533-position model. The record is from RNAcentral.